Non-coding RNA from Gossypium raimondii (Peruvian cotton), 144 nucleotides. Lineage: Eukaryota; Viridiplantae; Streptophyta; Magnoliopsida; Malvales; Malvaceae. The record is from Rfam.
UGUUAAAAAUUUCAUUCAUUUACAUUGUUAAAAAAUAGGUGUAGCUAAUGAAAUAAUUAAAAGUGAUACGUGAUGUGCCACGUAUACCUCAUGCUAAUUACAUGGGCCUGUUUUUAAUAGUAGAAAUAUAUGUAAUUUUUAAUA